UACGGAGGGUGCGAGCGUUGUCCGGAAUCACUGGGCGUAAAGGGCGCGUAGGCGGCAUGCCAAGCGUGUGGUGAAAGCCCGGGGCUCAACCCCGGGUCGGCCGUGCGGACUGGCGUGCUCGAGCACUGUAGGGGCGGGUGGAAUUCCGGGUGUAGCGGUGGAAUGCGUAGAGAUCCGGAAGAACAUCAGUGGCGAAGGCGGGUCUCUGGGCAACAACUGACGCUGAGGAGCGAAAGCGUGGGGAGCGAACAGG
This 253-nucleotide ribosomal RNA is filed under the name uncultured bacterium. RNAcentral's name for it is "partial 16S ribosomal RNA". It matches the Rfam family "Bacterial small subunit ribosomal RNA", at positions 524 to 776 of the family's 1533-position model. The record is from RNAcentral.